AGAAAUAUGUCUGAUAAUAGAGUUACUUUGAUAGAGUAAAUCAUAGAGGUUUAAAUCCUCUUAUUUCUA
This 69-nucleotide transfer RNA is filed under the name Harpiocephalus harpia (hairy-winged bat). RNAcentral's name for it is "tRNA-Ile". It matches the Rfam family "tRNA". Rfam says of the family: Transfer RNA (tRNA) molecules are approximately 80 nucleotides in length. RNAcentral also lists the same sequence under 5 other names. The record is from RNAcentral. Lineage: Eukaryota; Metazoa; Chordata; Mammalia; Chiroptera; Vespertilionidae.